Molecule: ribosomal RNA, 254 nt
Filed under: uncultured bacterium
Lineage: Bacteria
Description: partial 16S ribosomal RNA
Rfam family: Bacterial small subunit ribosomal RNA
Source: RNAcentral
GUCCACGCCGUAAACGAUGGAUACUAGCUGUUGGGAGCGAUCUCAGUGGCUAAGCGAAAGUGAUAAGUAUCACACCUGGGGAGUACGUUCGCAAGAAUGAAACUCAAAGGAAUUGACGGGGCCCGCACAAGCGGUGGAGCAUGUGGUUUAAUUCGAUGAUACGCGAGGAACCUUACCAAGGCUUAAAUGUAGAUUGACCGAUUUGGAAACAGAUCUUUCGCAAGACAAUUUACAAGGUGCUGCAUGGUUGUCGU